This 414-nucleotide ribosomal RNA is filed under the name uncultured bacterium. Its description in RNAcentral is "bacterial SSU rRNA". It matches the Rfam family "Bacterial small subunit ribosomal RNA", at positions 109 to 508 of the family's 1533-position model. The record is from RNAcentral.
AGUAACACGUGGGCAACCUACCCCUCGCAGGGGGACAACCGGAGGAAACUCCGGCUAAUACCCCGUACGUUCUCAGGGUCGCAUGUCCCUGGGAAGAAAGGUAGCUUCGGCCAUCCGGCGAGGGAUGGGCCCGCGGUGCAUUAGCUAGUUGGUGGGGUAACGGCUCACCAAGGCGACGAUGCAUAGCUGGUCUGAGAGGAUGAUCAGCCACACUGGGACUGAGACACGGCCCAGACUCAUACGGGAGGCAGCAGCCAGGAAUCUUGGGCAAUGGGCGCAAGCCUGACCCAGCAACACCGUGUGGGCGAUGAAGGCCUUCGGGUCGUAAAGCCCUGUUGAUAGGGACGAAGGGCGAAGGGUUAAUAGCCCCUAGCCUGACGGUACCUUUCGAGGAAGCCCCGGCUAACUACGUGC